UGGGUUGGGGGAGAGAUUUGCACC
RNAcentral lists this non-coding RNA (24 nucleotides) under Cricetulus griseus (Chinese hamster). Lineage: Eukaryota; Metazoa; Chordata; Mammalia; Rodentia; Cricetidae. The record is from RNAcentral.